Molecule: long non-coding RNA, 1001 nt
Filed under: Cyanistes caeruleus (blue tit)
Lineage: Eukaryota; Metazoa; Chordata; Aves; Passeriformes; Paridae
Description: lncRNA (ENSCCEG00000013239.1)
Source: RNAcentral
CCAGUGAGACCACCAAAAAACAUGUAACUGCUGGGAGAUAGCACUGCAAGGACCACUCAGGGCUUCAGCAGCACGCGAUGACCUCACCCCUGUUCUCUUGGACCUCUCGUGGAAGAGCAGAAUGGCUGAGAGGAGGUUGAGGAAAACCAGCCACUUCCCUGUGUGUGCAGCCACUGUCUGGAGCAUCAGAGAACAGCAGAUGGGAUGGGGAGGUGAGCCAAGGAGCUGCUGAGCCUGGGGAGGUGUUACACAGCUCGUCGAGCGAGACGUGCCUGGCCAGGAUCUCCCAGGACAUGUGUCCCACCACCAAAGCAGUGGGGAUAUAAAUCCUUGCACGGACUGGACAGCAAGAUGUCUGAACACAUGGAAAAGGAGCAUCAGCCCCUGGUCUGGGGUUGUUGAUAAUGGCUAGAAACGCUCAUUUUAGAAAAUGAGGAAGCAUUUACAGCCUGCUUCCAUCUCUCUCACCCUGGCAGACUCGAAGGUGCUUUGUCAAGGCCACGGUUUGGAAAGUGUUAAGCAAGUUUGGCCAAGGCCCAUAGAUGCUCCUGUAACACAAGGCAGGAAGAGCAGCAACAUUUAAUGGGAUUCUCCCUCAGGAAUGAUGGAGGAAGAGAGAACUUUUCUGGAGCUAAACACUGCCAUAGUCUGUAUUACUACAAAACUAAACUUAAGGGUGAAUAUGCAAUUAGGAAGAUCUGAGCCUUGCCACAAAACUCGUGUAGCCCUGGCACUUGAGAUGCAGGGCCAGCUUGUCCAACUCCCAGACAAAGAGCUGUUGUUCAAAAUACACGGAGGGAACCUGGAUCUCCACAUGGAACGUCUGCUGCAGUGUGUGAGUCAUCCUGGAUGAAAAAGUUGUCUUUACUCUUUUAAUGGCUGUUCUGGUUCUUUUCCUUCUAAUUACUUGCCAGCACCAGAGUGUGUUGUUCUUGCACAGUCAUCACUGCAGAUUCUUCGGAGACCCCAAACCAGCUGAAUAAAAGCUCCUAAGCCUAACA